UAACCUGCCCAAGAGAUCGGGAUAACACCUGGAAACAGAUGCUAAUACCGGAUAACAACAGAUGAUGCCUAUCAACUGUUUAAAAGAUGGUUCUGCUAUCACUCUUGGAUGGACCUGCGGUGCAUUAGCUAGUUGGUAGGGUAACGGCCUACCAAGGCGAUGAUGCAUAGCCGAGUUGAGAGACUGAUCGGCCACAUUGGGACUGAGACACGGCCCAAACUCCUACGGGAGGCAGCAAU
This 239-nucleotide ribosomal RNA is filed under the name uncultured Lactobacillus sp. RNAcentral's name for it is "partial 16S ribosomal RNA". It matches the Rfam family "Bacterial small subunit ribosomal RNA", at positions 122 to 355 of the family's 1533-position model. The record is from RNAcentral. Lineage: Bacteria; Bacillati; Bacillota; Bacilli; Lactobacillales; Lactobacillaceae.